GCACUGCUAAAGAGUCCUACACCAGGACGAAACGGCCGUCUAGUGC
Molecule: non-coding RNA, 46 nt
Organism: Schistosoma mattheei
Lineage: Eukaryota; Metazoa; Platyhelminthes; Trematoda; Strigeidida; Schistosomatidae
Source: Rfam